UACGUAGGGUGCAGGCGUUAAUCGGAAUUACUGGGCGUAAAGCGUGCGCAGGCGGUUUCUUAAGUCAGAUGUGAAAGCCCCGGGCUUAACCUGGGAACUGCGUUUGAAACUGGGAGACUAGAGUGUGGCAGGGGGGUGGAAUUCCACGUGUAGCAGUGAAAUGCGUAGAUAUGUGGAGGAACACCGAUGGCGAAGGCAGCCCCCUGGGUUAACUCUGACGCUCAGGCACGAAAGCGUGGGGAGCAAACAGG
RNAcentral lists this ribosomal RNA (251 nucleotides) under uncultured bacterium. Its description in RNAcentral is "partial 16S ribosomal RNA". It matches the Rfam family "Bacterial small subunit ribosomal RNA", at positions 524 to 776 of the family's 1533-position model. The record is from RNAcentral.